Oncorhynchus tshawytscha (Chinook salmon) is the source of this 1544-nucleotide long non-coding RNA. The record is from Ensembl. NCBI's taxonomy places the organism in Eukaryota, Metazoa, Chordata, Actinopteri, Salmoniformes, Salmonidae.
GGAGCGAACAAUGUACCAGGCCAGCUGUGAUUUACAACCUGACAGCAAUAUGUUUUGGACUACCAAGAAAUGUAUUGGUGAAUUAUAUUAAUCAUGCAUUGAACUGCAUCCAUCUAUUCUGCCAACAAUGCCUUACUCUAUGUCAUGGAACGUUGAGUCAAAUUUAAACUAUUUUAAAAAUAUCAUAUGAAGUUGGUUUUGUAGCAUAAACUAUUUUUGACUGAUAUUAUGAUUGUCUGUUUGUUUUAUAUCUGCAAAGUAGUUAAAACGCUGCCAGUUCCACUUUACACUUUAGGUCAACGGUGCUAAACGUGAAAUGUUUUUGGCAAUGGGAGGUAAUAGUUGUCAAUUUUGAUUGGGAAAUGCUUAAUGGUUGUGUUUUUGUAUUCUUAUGAUGGGGAACUAAUGUUUUAUUAUGUCCGAGUUUAUUGACUACUUAUACUUUAACGUCAUGCUGUGUGUGACUGCUGUCCUUCCAUCAGCCCUAUGCAGUGGUGUGGUGGUGCCUGGAGAAGUGGGAAUACUCACAUUUAGCUAAAAAAGUUCCCAAACGGCACGCCUAGCGAAGGAAAGGCACCUGUGUGAAAAACCCUGUUUCCCACGUUAAAUGAGUUUCCCAUAGAUUUAGCAGAUUUUCACUCUCAAAAUCACACCUAUUUAAAAAAAAAUGAAAAUAUACUAAAAUGUGAUGUUCUAAGUCCACAACAAUGCUUCAACCACAUCAAUCUGAUUGGGUGGGCCUGUCAGGGCCUGGCUCCCCAUUGGGUGGGCCUUAGUCCACCCAGGCUCAUCCAUGUCUAGCCUACUAACCAACACUGUGGAUUAAACUUUUUUCAAUACCUGGUUUGCAUACCCAUUGUUGCCUUAGUUAUCAUUUACUAGUAGAAAGUUGAAACGUCUUACCUACCCUACCGGCUACCGAUGGCAUUGUUCUGUGAGCUGCUCCAUGCCAAAACACCUUGAGAGCUGCACACUUUUGCUGCCAGCAGAUAAUAUUCCGCUAAAACUAGGCUGUGUGUGCUGUGCGCAUGUGAAUAUAUUUCAUGUACUUUGCGAUUGUGUGGGCUACUUUGUGCAUGAUUUCUCUAUUGUACUAUGUAAUUGAUAAGACGUAUACCUCCACUACACUGCUAGGAUACGCAUCAGUAGGGAUUAAGAAGUCAGUAUACGCAAUGCCCACUGAAAAAAAGUGUAUAUACAGUUUAUACCCGUGUAUAGCCUUCCCUACACCACCGGCCCUUUGUGUUUUAUAAAAAAGUCCACCCUCCUACAUGAGUGUGAUGUUAUUGCAGUUGCUGUCCUUUCAGAAAUACCAACCUGUCACACACUGAAGUCCUAUAGGUUCACCACUGUACUGACCUGUCACACACUGAAGACCUAUAGGUUCACCACUGUACUAACCUGUCACACUGAAGUCCUAUAGGUUCACCACUGUACUAACCUGUCACACACUGAAGACCUAUAGGUUCACCACUGUACUAACCUGUCACACACUGAAGACCUAUAGGUUCACCACUGUACUAACCUGUCACACUGAAGACCUA